RNAcentral lists this ribosomal RNA (219 nucleotides) under uncultured bacterium. Its description in RNAcentral is "partial 16S ribosomal RNA". It matches the Rfam family "Bacterial small subunit ribosomal RNA", at positions 326 to 544 of the family's 1533-position model. The record is from RNAcentral.
ACGCUCGACACCUACGAGGCAGCAGUGAGGAAUAUUGGUCAAUGGGCGCUAGCCUGAACCAGCCAAGUAGCGUGAAGGAUGAAGGCUCUAUGGGUCGUAAACUUCUUUUAUAUAAGAAUAAAGUGCAGUAUGUAUACUGUUUUGUAUGUAUUAUAUGAAUAAGGAUCGGCUAACUCCGUGCCAACAGCCGCGGUAAUCUGAGGCGGGCGUGGCGAAGGC